This 3038-nucleotide long non-coding RNA is filed under the name Dermacentor andersoni. Its description in RNAcentral is "uncharacterized LOC126545406". The record is from RNAcentral. Lineage: Eukaryota; Metazoa; Arthropoda; Arachnida; Ixodida; Ixodidae.
GUCCAACGUCGCGCCCGUUUGCCUCUCAGUAGUGUUCCACCGCGUUUGACACUGCACACUCUGGCUCAUUAUUCGCGGUGGUGCGCCUCAUGCAGCGCUUUCAUCGCCUUGACUCCAUGUUCGGCCUUCAUGUCAGCGUUGUGGUCUUCAAUUCUUGUAAAUUGCCAAUCAACAUCAGCAGCAAGAUCUCAAAUUAAGCUAACAUGCAUUAGUUCUUUUUGCAACAUAUAGUCUCAACGUUUCCAGAAAUGCAAUAACAAUGGCUUUAUCCCAACUGGAGUGUACACCAUGGGUAUGGCUGACACAUGAAAGCAACCUGAGCUCAGUCAAGGACAAUGCUGAGAAACUUUCCAUACUGAUUCAACUAAUGGAAAUACUUAGAACAGGCUGGCCUCUACCGUAUCUUUGAAAGGAGGAAGAAUUACAGCACAAAGGAGCAACAGACCUUUGACAAGUUGGCCUCCUGCCAAAAGCACCUCAAGGAACUGCAUCUGAUAUGUUGCACCAUUGCUGCGAGAGCUCCCUUUCAAUGCAUUGUGGAACAGGACCAAGUCUCUGGGAUACACAUACGACGGCAUAAUAACUUGCAUUGGAGUGGGGAAUGUUUUGCCAAGCCAAUGCAAUUGUCAGCAUGCUGCUGCAAUGCUAGGUUCCCUGAAGCCAUUCCCACCAGUGUCCUGCAGUAAAGUGGCUAAUUGAAAAUAAGGCAUCAGCCUUGUGCUAUGCAGUGAAUUAGUGUCUUCAGAAAUUGUGAAAAGAUUGUGCUGAAAGUGAAGUGCUGUGGCUGAAUGGAAAAAGUGGGUGCCUUUUAUUGCGCUGUGAAAGUGAGUACCAAAAGUAUAGCCCCAGGAAAGCACAGGGCUGGAAGUAUACGUAAAUGGCUGGUGUGGUGCCAAAAGUCUGCUGUGCUUUUGUGCAAGUGUAUGAGUGUAUGUGUGCAUGGGUUCUUUUUUAAUCAACAUGCAGAUGCAUGCACAUUUGUGUGGUGCAUCCUCAAGUUAAUAAAUUUAGUGUCAUUGGUGUUAUGUCUUUCGACAUAACAAUUGGCCUUGCCUCGUGCUGUGCUACAUCUCUCGAUCACAAUAAGUGUUCACCUCAGCCAGUGUUUUGAAGAUUCGUCAAGCCACCAAGAUGAUCUACACUGCCCAACGGCCAUUUAUUGUGCAGCUGAUCAGCAAAAUAGUGCAUCCCUGUGUGCUGUGUGCCAAGUAGACAUCAGCAAUUGUGCAGUGAAAAUAAUUCGGCAAAGUGGUUUGAAGGGGGGGGGGGGGGGGGUGAGUAAGGUUACAAGGUAUCUACAGUUUUCAUCUCGUCAAUGGUGCGGUGCUGUUUCGAAGUGAUGUGCAGUGUGAUAUGUGAAGUGAGCCGUGUGGUGAGAGUGUAGUGCCAUGUGUAAUUGUUGGCUUCUCAUCAUGUGUAAUUAUGUGGUUUCAAGGUGCAUAUUCCUAGUGAGGAGGCAGUCAGCACCAAGUGUGUAGGAGGUGAAGUGCAUCAGGCUCAUGUUUUCUGUCACUGCCAUAUUUAGCAGCAAGUCAUGAAGAAAUCCCGAAUGUCUACAAAGGUUCAAGGCAAAUGUGCUUGCACCUAUCAUGGGCCUCCAUGGAGAGCUUCAUAGUAUGCAUAUGUGAUAUGUCACUGGUGUUCAAUUCAUAGCCAGUGGUUCAUUAACACCAAGUACUUCAAGAAGCACAAUCAAGUAUGCCAAACUAGUUCAACAUGCUGAUGCAGGUUGGUUGUAGCCAUGGUGUUUUGAAUGAGUCACCAUAUUCACAAGGAAAGGCUGACCAGCUAUGGUAAGAGGGUGCACCAUUUUUAUGCUUCUUGCAGGUGGAACUUUCUACUCUGAGCUCUGCUGGAGUUCCUUUGGCAUAUGCAAAGAUUCAAGGCACUUUGUUGUCUCAGUCAGCACUGGAGCACAAGAUACCUACAUUCGAACCAGCAGUGAUAAAAUACAGCCAACUUUUUGCUAUGCAAUCGGAAAUUGGUCAUAGAGGUGAGUCUUACAGGAUUUGAUGUUUGGUGUGGGUUGACUUCAAGGUAUGAAAACAAAUUAAUUAUGCAUUUGUUCAAAUUCCUUGAUCAGCCUUGGGAUCAAGCUGCUGCCUGAAAAUGGAUCCAUCAUGGCAGGAAAAUCCUGUGUUUGAUUUAUUAAUGUCACACGUAUGCCCAACACAGUGAGUAUCCAGGUUUAGGUGACAUCUCGCAAUGUCCUUCAAGCUGCAGUUUGCACUGUUCUUAGAAACUUCUGCUUUGUGGUUCAGUUGAGAUAAAAUUUAUUUAUGCAUGAAACUGCAUGCUCAUUUAAAGUGACAAUUUCACAUUGUCAGUUCAGAGGAUUUUCGUUUUUGGAAGUCCAAAAUAAGGGUGCAGUGCAAACAUAUCAGAAAGUACUAUAUUUAAAGUAGCUAUACAUUUUAACUCACUUUAUCAAUUUGACUGCUGUAGUUCACACGUAGCCUUACGAAUAUCAUAUAAAUAUGCAUAUAACUCCUUGGUAAAAAGAACAGGCACAAAGCUUAUACACAAAUUCAUUAGAAAUUAGUGUAGCUUAAUCAGCUCUUCUGAAGUGUGCAUGUUUGGUGGUGGUGUUAAAACCAUCAUUGCAUGUAUGCUGAAAGGCUUCCAGGUUGUUGCUGGCUGUGGUUAGACCAGUGCUCCCACAGGUAUGUGUUUUAUCACUCAGCAAUUGGCAGCAGUACAGUAUGCAGUGUAGGUGGUGUACCUUUCAUCUGUUGGAUUCUAGUGGGUAAUGUGCCUGACCUUUUAUGAAUGUAAGUACUCCAAUCACCUUAUUGCUAUUCCACAACAUGCAUGCACUACCAUACACACAUGACCAUGCACUAAUGAAAAGUUAAAAAAAAAUUACUGUAAUCUCUCCAAACUGCUUCUAGCACAUAUCAGUGUGGUGAACCACUGAAAGUCAAGCAAAAUGGUACAAAACUAUGUUUGCCAUGUUUAGCUGGAAAAGAUAUAGCAGAGUCAAAAACUUGAUUUCUAUGUAUUCACUGGAAAUUGAACAAAAUUUAUAGAUUAUUGAA